AGUCGAGCGAGCUUGCCUAGAUGAUUUUAGUGCUUGCACUAAAUGACAUUUAAGACAAGCGAGCGGCGGACGGGUGAGUAACACGUGGGUAACCUGCCCAAGAGACUGGGAUAACACCUGGAAACAGAUGCUAAUACCGGAUAACAACACUAGACGCAUGUCUAGAGUUUGAAAGAUGGUUCUGCUAUCACUCUUGGAUGGACCUGCGGUGCAUUAGCUAGUUGGUAAGGUAACGACUUACCAAGGCAAUGAUGCAUAGCCGAGUUGAGAGACUGAUCGGCCACAUUGGGACUGAGACGCGGCCCAAACUCCUACGGGAGGCAGCAGUAGGGAAUCUUCCACAAUGGACGAAAGUCUGAUGGAGCAACGCCGCGUGAGUGAAGAAGGGUUUCGGCUCGUAAAGCUCUGUUGGUAGUGAAGAAAGAUAGAGGUAGUAACUGGCCUUUAUUUGACGGUAAUUACUUAGAAAGUCACGGCUAACUACGUGCCAGCAGCCGCGGUAAUACGUAGGUGGCAAGCGUUGUCCGGAUUUAUUGGGCGUAAAGCGAGUGCAGGCGGUUCAAUAAGUCUGAUGUGAAAGCCUUCGGCUCAACCGGAGAAUUGCAUCAGAAACUGUUGAACUUGAGUGCAGAAGAGGAGAGUGGAACUCCAUGUGUAGCGGUGGAAUGCGUAGAUAUAUGGAAGAACACCAGUGGCGAAGGCGGCUCUCUGGUCUGCAACUGACGCUGAGGCUCGAAAGCAUGGGUAGCGAACAGGAUUAGAUACCCUGGUAGUCCAUGCCGUAAACGAUGAGUGCUAAGUGUUUGGGAGUUUCCGCCUCUCAGUGCUGCAGCUAAC
This 837-nucleotide ribosomal RNA is filed under the name uncultured bacterium. RNAcentral's name for it is "bacterial SSU rRNA". It matches the Rfam family "Bacterial small subunit ribosomal RNA", at positions 60 to 856 of the family's 1533-position model. The record is from RNAcentral.